Molecule: ribosomal RNA, 497 nt
Filed under: uncultured bacterium
Lineage: Bacteria
Description: partial 16S ribosomal RNA
Rfam family: Bacterial small subunit ribosomal RNA
Source: RNAcentral
GAUGAACGCUGGCGGCGUGCCUAAUACAUGCAAGUCGAGCGAACGGACGAGAAGCUUGCUUUUCUGAUGUUAGCGGCGGACGGGUGAGUAACACGUGGAUAACCUACCUAUAAGACUGGGAUAACUUCGGGAAACCGGAGCUAAUACCGGAUAAUAUUUUGAACCGCAUGGUUCAAAAGUGAAAGACGGUCUUGCUGUAACUUAUAGAUGGAUCCGCGCUGCAUUAGCUAGUUGGUAAGGUAACGGCUUACCAAGGCAACGAUGCAUAGCCGACCUGAGAGGGUGAUCGGCCACACUGGAACUGAGACACGGUCCAGACUCCUACGGGAGGCAGCAGUAGGGAAUCUUACGCAAUGGGCGAAAGCCUGACGGAGCAACGCCGCGUGAGUGAUGAAGGUCUUCGGAUCGUAAAACUCUGUUAUUAGGGAAGAACAUAUGUGUAAGUAACUGUGCACAUCUUGACGGUACCUAAUCAGAAAGCCACGGCUAACUACGUG